Nicotiana tabacum (common tobacco) is the source of this 2026-nucleotide non-coding RNA. NCBI's taxonomy places the organism in Eukaryota, Viridiplantae, Streptophyta, Magnoliopsida, Solanales, Solanaceae. The record is from RefSeq and is a predicted model, not a curated record.
AGGCAAAAGACCUUCCCAACCAUUAGGGCACAAACACCCUAAUUUCUCCGCUAUUCUUCCUCUUUCUUCUCUUCCUCUUCUUUGAAGGCACAAAUGCUGAGACUUCAACACCCCAAUUUUUUCAGUCGACAGUCCUCAACAAAGGCCGAGACCUCAGUAGCGUAGGUUUUCAGUCGACGGUUUUCCAUUUUUGCAAAGGGGUUUUGUUCUCAGAGAUCUCUGAAAUUCGAAGUCGUGUGUUUGUAGAAUUCUGAAACUCGAAGUUGUGCAUUGAUUUUAGGGAUUGCAUGUCCUUGAUAAGAUAUUGCCCUCCCUCCAGAUUUCUUUGCUAAUUUUAUUAUAUUUUAGAAUUAAUUGGAGCCAAGAUCGUUGUAUUUUGGUCUAAAAAAGUUAUCAAAUUCAACAAUUCAGUGAGUAGUUCAAGCAUUGGAUAGAUCAGAUAUGCCUCGAGGUAGAGGUCGAGGUAGCGCAGGCCGUGUAGGUAAAUCUUCUGUUAGGGGUAAUUUUGCUACUCGUGAAAAUAUGCCUACUGUUCCCAUUCCCACAAUCAGUCCUCAACAAGGUGGUACGAGUUCCUCAGGUGGACCAGAUCACAUCAAUCAAGUUCAAACAUUAGGUCCUAGUAGUAUGCCACCUAUUAAAACAUCAGGCCAUAGUAGUACCCCAACUAUUAAUUUGGAACCAUCUCCAAAUACCCCUAAUAAGAGCAACACAAUAGGCGAGGGUACUUCUUCUCAAAGCAACAUAAUAGGCGAAACUGAGUGUAGCAAUACCCGCAGGCCGCAGACGCUUCUUACUAUUUCUCCUACAGGGUUAGUCUAUACUUAUACUAUUACUUUUAGUAUAUUUCAUUGAUAUAUGGUAUGCCUUUAAACAAUGUCUUCUACUUGGUUCAGGUUAGAGCCUUCAUUUGAAUGCUUUGAUUGUAUAACUAAGUCUUUUAAGCAUGAACUUGAUCCUAAUGGAAUCAACUAGAAAAGCGUCUCAAAUGAGAUAAAAAAAAUUAUUUUGGAGAAUUCAAGGUAUAUAAUCCAUCACAAUUAUAUUAACUUUGAUAUGUAACUUAUUAAUGUUAUUACUUUACAAAAUUAUUUCAGAAGGCAUUCUACUAGGAUUCUUCAAUUGAUAGUGCGGUGCGGAUCCAAUGGGAGCAUAGGGCAACAAAAAGAUAUAGUGAUUUUGUUAGCAAACUAAAAUCAAGUAGGGUGCAACUAGACACUAUUCCAAAUAAUGUGUGGGAAAGUUGGUCGAGACUUUGGAAAGAUCCUAAGUGUGUUGAGAAGUCAGAAAUAAAUGCAAAAAAUCGUUGUGGUGUGAGCGGAGUUGCCGCUGGGACUCACAUAGGUGGCUCUAUCAAUGUUGGGGAGCAUCGCAAGAGACUUGUUUAAUGAUAAGCUAUAUCCAGAUCAAUAGAGUCCAAGUUCUUAUGAAAUGCAAAACUGCUGGAAAAAUAUCAGGAGACAUUAACAACGAACACAAACUCAAUCUGAUAUUGAUCAGUGUAAAGUAUAUUAUCAAGCCACGAGAGGAGAAAAGAAAAGAAGAGUAUAUGGUCUUGGAUCUCAAGCAAAAUGCUACUACGGGCCAAAUCUUGAUGGCUCUUUUGGAUCUGAUGCUACAUCGUCAGCAACACCUCCAAAUGCUCAAUCAACAUCGAUAGGGAAUCUGGAUGAGUUAGUGAUGCGAUUGAUUCCUGCGCUGACAGAUCAUAUAGUUCCUGUAAUCGUUGACAGGGUACACGAAUUAGUUUUCUUACCCUCGCAUCACCCAAAUACUGAUCUUACCCACCGCCCAUUAGGUGUGACACCUACAGUUCCUAUAUCUUCUACUGCUGCUAACAUUGAUGAGGUUCAUGCAUUGAGUUCUGAUGAUGACCGUAACUCUCCAGCCUCGCAUCUUCUACAUCUUUAUUGUUGGUCCUUGUGGAUUUUUUGAACUUAACAAUACUGUUAUAUGCAUUAUGCUAUAUUUUGGACCUUGUUGAAUAUAUUGUUAAUUUAUAUCAAUAUUAGUGACUUUUUAUUAA